UACGUAGGGUGCGAGCGUUAAUCGGAAUUACUGGGCGUAAAGUGUGCGCAGGCGGCAGAGCAAGUCGAGUGUGAAAGCCCCGGGCUUAACUUGGGAAUUGCGCUCGAAACUACUUUGCUGGAGUGUGGCAGAGGAAGGUGGAAUUCCACGUGUAGCGGUGGAAAUGACGUAGAGAUGUGGAGGAACACCAAUGGCGAAGG
Molecule: ribosomal RNA, 200 nt
Filed under: uncultured bacterium
Lineage: Bacteria
Description: partial 16S ribosomal RNA
Rfam family: Bacterial small subunit ribosomal RNA
Source: RNAcentral